ACUGCUAUCGGAUUGAUACUAAGCCAUGCGAGUCUUUGUAGCAAUACAAGGCAGACGGCUCAGUAACACGUAGUCAAUCUAACCUAUGGACGGGGAUAACCUCGGGAAACUGAGAAUAAUACCCGAUAGAUCAUUAUUCCUGGAAUGGUUAAUGGUUAAAAUGAUUUAUCGCCAUAGGAUGGGACUGCGGCCUAUCAGUUUGUUGGUGAGGUAAUGGCCCACCAAGACUAUAACAGGUACGGGCUCUGAGAGGAGUGGCCCGGAGAUGGGUACUGAGACACGGACCCAGGCCCUAUGGGGCGCAGCAGGCGAGAAAACUUUGCAAUGUGCGAAAGCACGACAAGGUUAAUCCGAGUGAUUUCUGCUAAAGGAAUCUUUUGUCAGUCCUAAAAACACUGAUGAAUAAGGGGUGGGCAAGUUCUGGUGUCAGCCGCCGCGGUAAAACCAGCACCUCAAGUGGUCAGGAGGAUUAUUGGGCCUAAAGCAUCCGUAGCCUGCUUCAUAAGUUUUCGGUUAAAUUCAUAUGCUCAACAUAUGGGCUGCCGGGAAUACUGUGCAGCUAGGGAGUGGGAGAGGUAGACGGUACUCGGUAGGAAGGGGUAAAAUCCUUUGAUCUAUUGAUGACCACCUGUGGCGAAGGCGGUCUACCAGAACACGUCCGACGGUGAGGGAUGAAAGCUGGGGGAGCAAACCGGAUUAGAUACCCGGGUAGUCCCAGCUGUAAACAAUGCAAACUCAGUGAUGCACUGGCUUGUGGCCAGUGCAGUGCUGCAGGGAAGCCGUUAAGUUUGCCGCCUGGGAAGUACGUACGCAAGUAUGAAACUUAAAGGAAUUGGUGGGGGAGCACCACAAGGGGUGAAG
This 861-nucleotide ribosomal RNA is filed under the name uncultured archaeon. Its description in RNAcentral is "bacterial SSU rRNA". It matches the Rfam family "Archaeal small subunit ribosomal RNA", at positions 26 to 893 of the family's 1478-position model. The record is from RNAcentral.